This 370-nucleotide ribosomal RNA is filed under the name uncultured bacterium. Its description in RNAcentral is "bacterial SSU rRNA". It matches the Rfam family "Bacterial small subunit ribosomal RNA", at positions 64 to 448 of the family's 1533-position model. The record is from RNAcentral.
GAACGAGAAAGUGGAGCAAUCCAUGAGUAAAGUGGCGACCGGGUGAGUAACACGUGACUAACCUACCUCCGAGUGGGGAAUAACUCCGGGAAACCGGGGCUAAUACCGCAUAACAUCGCGAGAUCAAAGCAGCAAUGCGCUUGGAGAGGGGGUCGCGGCUGAUUAGCUAGUUGGCGGGGUAACGGCCCACCAAGGCGAAGAUCGGUAUCCGGCCUGAGAGGGCGCACGGACACACUGGAACUGAAACACGGGCCAGACUCCUACGGGAGGCAGCAGUGGGGAAUCUUGCGCAAUGGGCGAAAGCCUGACGCAGCGACGCCGCGUGGGGGAUGAAGCUUUUCGGAGUGUAAACCCCUUUCGACUGGGACGA